GUCACAUUGUGGCCAUAGUUAGGAAGCAGAGAAAGAUAAAUGUUGAUGUUCAGACGGUUUUCUACUUUUUAUUCAGUCCUGAUUGCCAGUAUUUAUGGUUAGUUUGCCUUUCUCCAUUUACUCUUUUUAGAAACACCCAUAUACACACCCACAAGUGUUUCUACAGUGCCUGUGAACCAAGUGAAAUGGGCAAUGAAAGUUAAGCAUUUCAACCAGAAUAGAAGUCCUGAGAGAUGAUACCACAAAUGGUUUCAAUAUUGGCAGACAACCGAAAAAGACUCAACCCCAACCAAAAGAUACCCUUUUAGGUUUCCCGAAAGAACAUUGUUUUCUGUUCAUCUUCCCUCCACAGUUUUCAGCAUUCAAUUAAAAAGCAUGGGAUCAAGAAACAGUUACACUUUUAAGCAAAAUGAUCUACAGAGUCUGACACACAGGGACUACCAGGUAACUAACUACCAGGGCCCCGGCAUCACCAAAAGGAACUUGAAGCAGAAGAAUUGGUACUGUCCAUUCUCUACUCAAAAAUAUUUCCAUGCAGAAGAAACCAGCCUGGAAGAUGCUUUGAACACACAGUUCAUUCUGGAUUCCCUCGCAACUUUGGUGAACACAUCUGCUGCUCAUCCAGAUGCCAUACCUUGUGGGAUGACCAAGACUCUUAGUUAUGAGCCCAAGCUACAUUGUCACUUGCAGGAUGUGACUACCAGACCCUCAAAAUUGAGCAGAGAUGGAGAUGUGUCCAAAGAAACUGCUUUAUAUCAUAAGGUUGCCUUAUAUAUCCCUUACUAGUCACACAAUACCACAGCAUCUGAUUUCCUCCUGCUAUUCUGUUGGCCUUUCAUACAGAGAAUCCAAAGUAAUUGGAUGACCAAACAUCUCUUAGAGUUUAAUGGGACUUUUACUGAACUACUUAAUGGUAACAUCAUCCCUCUGAAAGCUAGAUGCUCAAGCCAACAGAGUAUAGAUUGUUUAAAGUAUAGCCCCUUCCUCUGAAGAUGCAUCAAACAAAAAAAAAAUGUGGACUGUUAGUUACUUCAAUGGCAAGUGAGGUUGGAGUUUGAAGAUAACAUGACUAACCAAAGAGCAUGCACCAGUGUCUCCACCAUACUUUGUAGUUUGUGUGUUCAUUUGUUCCAACUGAUAUGAGACUUCAAGAUAGUGGAACAAUGUGGCACAGUAUAGAAUAUUCAGAUUGGUAUUAUCCCUUGGAACAGUAUUAUGACUGAAGGAUGAAAAUUUAAAGUUGCCUGGGUCGAUACUGUAAAUAUCCUGUUUCAUGUGAAUGUUAACUGACUUUAAUUCUCCAUUUUCACUGAGAUGGAAAAUAAGUCACUGGCCAGAUCUGUGGGUUCAUAGCACACACACACCUAAGUCUUUAUUAGUCUGUUCCAGCAGUGAUAACAUAUCUUGACCAGAGCUGCAAUUUGGACUAUUUUGUUGAGUUUAUAGGGUUAUACUAGCAUCCUAUGUGAUCCAAAUGUCUGGUAAUAUGAAGACAUUACCAGACUAAGUCAAAUAGUACAAACAUGCAACUAUUUUUCCUUUGGGCCUUCAUCUUUGCUUUUACUGCUUGAGUGCCCUGUUCCUGGUGGUGGUUGUUGUUUGGUUUUGUUCUGUGUUUUUUAACUGAGUUUUACUAUAGGUGUGUAGGCACUUUCACUCAUUUCAG
Long non-coding RNA from Mus spicilegus (steppe mouse), 1666 nucleotides. The record is from Ensembl. Lineage: Eukaryota; Metazoa; Chordata; Mammalia; Rodentia; Muridae.